Long non-coding RNA from Anguilla anguilla (European eel), 2336 nucleotides. RefSeq lists it as uncharacterized. The record is from RefSeq and is a predicted model, not a curated record. The transcript has 2 exons. Lineage: Eukaryota; Metazoa; Chordata; Actinopteri; Anguilliformes; Anguillidae.
AUUACUGCUCAAAAUAUUUUGGUUAUAUACAUUAUUUUUUUAAAUUGAGUGUCUUUAAAUAGGGUAGUGGUAUUAUAUAAUGUGGAUAUAUCACACUGUAAUGUUAGCAUUAGUUAGCAGUGAAAGGUUUCCAAGAAAAGAGAGCCUAAAGUCCAGAACAUGUGGACAUGUUGACAUUCUUACAUUACAACACAUGUCUAACAGACGUUUGAUUCCAAUAUUUGAGUUGGACUUUGAGCUGGACACCAUUGUCCCUUACACGCUAAACAUGUUGCACUUUGUUUAAUAUGCAGACCUAACUUUUUUUUUACUUUGAUAAUGGGUUUAAUAGAAACUUGGAUUUAUUUUGGAGUUGCACUACUGACUUAAAUAAUAAGCCUUUUUUUUUCUCCAACAUUAUUUUUAUCAUGUUGGAGUUGCCAGUUUAAACUUACAGUUUUGCACUUUAAUAUGUAAACCUUUGUUUACAUUUUGUUUUGUGCUGCAUUAUACAAUGGCAUAUACAGUUUGUUGUUGUCAAAAUAAAAGGCACUUAAAUGAAAUGGUCAAUUAGAUUUUUUGGAGGAAAAUUAAUUGUUUAGAUUAAUUGACUAAUUGGUAAAAUAGUCGAUAGAUUAAUCAGUAGAAAAAUUAGUGGCAGCCCUAGUUCUGCGUAUCCACCCUUAGAUUUGACGCACUUGUGAUCAAGUUCCUAAAGGAGUUUUUGAUCCAGGACAUGUAUAGUUCCUAUCAAUCUAUUCAAUCUCUCAGUAUUUCAUAGUAAACUAAAAAAGAGCAAAUCCAUUUUAGAUUUUUUGCCUAGACAAUUGCAUGUGUGGCACUUUAUUUCUUAAAUUAAGAUAUAAUCAAAUUUUAGUAUUUUAAAUGGUGCAAAUGUCUUGCUUCAUUUAAGCCAUUUUCCAAGUCUCUGUGAUGCUCACAGCUGGAGUUAUAAAGUUUUAAGUAGGAUACCCCCUAAAUGGGCAAGGAUUGGCCAGAUUUGGUAUGUGCGCAAAGGGGUGCACUAAUUAAGAGGGUGCUAUUUUUAGAUGCUGGUGUCUAACGGGGGGUUUAAGAAAUUAAAUCACGGCACGUAAGACUACUGCAUUCUGACACUUCGUUUUCAGCAUUAUUAUUAUUCCAAAAUGCCAUUGCGAAACUUGAAAAAAUAAGAAAUCAAUAGUUACUAAAAUAUAUAGCUACUGUUACAAGCUAUAAAUUUACAGGUGCAGAGUAAACUUGGCCAGCCACCUAGCUGGUUAGCAAUAAUCUGAAAGUGUGACCUACAUCUAAAGCUAGACUCUUAUGGCUUAGGGUUUGUAUCCUAAACUAGUGUAUGUUGUGUGGUGUAAAGGUGUGUGUAUAAAUUCAAUAAAAGAAAACACACACAAAACAUCCUCCCAUCUACCAAGGCAGACCCCCCCCCCCCCCCUUACUGGCUGAGAGGAAGAUGUCCCUGUGCCUCCAGUAUGCCUGACCAAUGCUGUUAUGGCUUGUUUCUCCUUUCCACUUAUAAGUUUAGGUGAAAUUAAAACACACGCAAACAAGUGACCAACAAGGGGGAAAAAAGAAAAUGCACCCAAGGGCAAGGCAGCACACUGAUGGAGAAGCAGGCAUUCAACAGGCCCAGUCGAUAUAAUGGAAGACUCCGACACACACAAGACGAGGGGCAAGGAACACGGGGGAAACUCAACAACAACUACAAGAGAGGCUAUACACAACAAAACUGUACAAGCACACGUAACACGGAUACCUACACUUUUAACACACAAAAGCACGCUAACUACACCUAGCUACACACAGCUAUACACAAGCAAGUAUUUACAUGGCGCCAGCGACAGCAAUCGUAGUUAGCUGCCUAGCUAGCUACCCCGGGUCGCCACAUAAUGUAUCUAUCUAGCUAGCUAGCUAAUGCAGUGUACAGUCUUGGCGAAUGCUUUGUGGGAAAUAAAUAUACAUGUACUCAAAAAACACAAGCCCAUUGCAUUGGGAAAGAUAUGUAGUUAGAGAGCACAGGCCCAGUGUACAUGAGAAAGGAAUGUAUUAAUGAGCACUAGCUGUCUCCUCCCUGACGUAUCAUCCGGCUAGCAAAAGAGGAAGGAUGCAGGUGGACCAAGGUCGACCUUAGCCAUAAGAUUAACAACCGGCAGCAGGGAAGCACUUCAUACUAAAAUAGGUGCGAUUAGAACAAACACGUAAUGCACACAUGAUUUCUGCCCUGCUAAUUAAGCUGUAUACAAGCACAUCUGUGGAACUAACGGAAGCUUCUGCCUUUUCCGGAAUAUGUAUUGUCAGAAUAUGUGAUUUAUGAUAGAAGGGGGAGGGAGAUUCAAGUGGGAGACGAGCACUAUCAUUUU